UCCCUCCAGAUUCCUUAUCCCUCAAACCUAAAUAGUGGUUUGAGUGGCUUAAAAAAAACAAGAGGAAAAGUACAAUUGAAGUGGACUUAAGUCUUUAGUGACAAACAAGCUCAUCACAAACGAAC
Molecule: small nucleolar RNA, 125 nt
Filed under: Echinops telfairi (small Madagascar hedgehog)
Lineage: Eukaryota; Metazoa; Chordata; Mammalia; Afrosoricida; Tenrecidae
Description: Small nucleolar RNA SNORA61 (ENSETEG00000025561.1)
Source: RNAcentral